GGUGAACGCUGGCGGUAUGGAUAAGGCAUGCAAGUCACGGGGGCCGCAAGGCAACCGGCAGACGAGGUAGUAACACGUAGGAACGUCCCCCAGAGUCUGGUAUAGCUCGCCGAAAGGCGGGGUAAUCCCAGAUGGUCUCGUAAGAGUAAAGGAGCAAUUCGCUCUGGGAGCGGCCUGCGUAAUAUCAGCUAGUUGGUGAGGUAAUGGCUCACCAAGGCUAUGACGUUUAGGGGACCUGAGAGGGUGACCCCCACCGAUGAGACUGAGACACGGCUCAUACCCCUACGGGGGCCGCAGCCGAGAAUAUUCGACAAUGGGCGAAAGCCUGAUCGAGCGAUACCGCGUGGUGGAUGAAGUGCUUCGGCACGUAAACAUCUUUUAUGAGGGAAGAAGUUAUUGACAUUACCUCAUGAAUAAGGGGCUCCUAACUCUGUGCCAGCCGCCGCGGUAAU
This 452-nucleotide ribosomal RNA is filed under the name uncultured bacterium. Its description in RNAcentral is "bacterial SSU rRNA". It matches the Rfam family "Bacterial small subunit ribosomal RNA", at positions 28 to 524 of the family's 1533-position model. The record is from RNAcentral.